GACGAACGCUGGCGGCGUGCUUAACACAUGCGAGUCGAACGGAAAGGCCCUGCUUUUGUGGGGUGCUCGAGUGGCGAACGGGUGAGUAACACGUGAGUAACCUGCCCUUGACUUUGGGAUAACUUCAGGAAACUGGGGCUAAUACCGGAUAGGAGCUCCUGCUGCAUGGUGGGGGUUGGAAAGUUUCGGCGGUUGGGGCUGGACUCGCGGCUUAUCAGCUUGUUGGUGGGGUAGUGGCUUACAAGGGUUUUGACGGAUAGCCGGCCUGAGAGGGUGACCGGCCACAUUGGGACUGAGAUACGGCCCAGACUCCUACGGGAGGCAGCAGUGGGGAAUAUUGCACAAUGGGCGGAAGCCUGAUGCAGCAACGCCGCGUGCGGGAUGACGGCCUUCGGGUUGUGAACCGCUUUCGCCUGUGACGAAGAGUGAGUGACGGUAAUGGGUAAAGAAGCACCGGCUAACUACGUG
RNAcentral lists this ribosomal RNA (468 nucleotides) under uncultured bacterium. RNAcentral's name for it is "partial 16S ribosomal RNA". It matches the Rfam family "Bacterial small subunit ribosomal RNA", at positions 28 to 507 of the family's 1533-position model. The record is from RNAcentral.